AUUGCCUUAGUAACGGCGAGUGAAGCGGCAACAGCUCAAAUUUGAAAUCUGGCUCCUUCGGGGCCCGAGUUGUAAUUUGCAGAGGAUGCUUCGGGUUUGGGUUCCUUCCGAGUUCCCUGGAACGGGACGCCAUAGAGGGUGAGAGCCCCGUCUGGUAGGAAACCCAGCCCAUGUGAAGCUCCCUCGACGAGUCGAGUAGUUUGGGAAUGCUGCUCUAAGGGGAGGUAUACUCCUUCCAAGGCUAAAUACCGGCUAGAGACCGAUAGCGCACAAGUAGAGUGAUCGAAAGAUGAAAAGUACUUUGAAAAGAGAGUCAAACAGCACGUGAAAUUGUUAAAAGGGAAGCGCUCGCUACCAGACGUGGGUUCGGUGGUUCAACCAGGUCCAUGACCUGGGGCACUCCGCCGGCCCAGGCCAGCAUCAGCUUUCCGUCGGGGGCAAAGGCGUCGGGAAUGUGGCUCUCCUUCGGGGGAGUGUUAUAGCCCGUCGCGUCAUACCCUUCGGGGGGCUGAGGUACGCGCUCCGCAAGGAUGCUGGCGUAAUGGUAGCUAGUGACCCGUCUUGAAACACGGACCAAGGAGUCAACCUUAUGUGCGAGUGCCCGGGCGUAAAACCCCAGCGCGGAAUGAAAGUGAACGUAGGUGAGAGCUUCGGCGCAUCACCGACCGAUCCUGAUGUCCUCGGACGGAUUUGAGUGAGAGCAUAUAGGGUUGGACCCGAAAGAAGAUGAACUAUGCGUGUGUAGGGUGAAGCCAGAGGAAACUCUGGUGGAGGCUCGCAGCGGUUCUGACGUGCAAAUCGAUCGUCAAACAUGCGCAUGGGGGCGAAAGACUAAUCGAAUCUUCUGGUAGCUGGUUUCCGCCGAAGUUUCCCUCAGGAUAGCAGUGUUGAUCCCAGUUUUAUGAGGUAAAGCGAAUGAUUAGGGACUCGGGGGCGCUAUUUAGCCUUCAUCCAUUCUCAAACUUUAAAUAUGUAAGAAGUCCCCGUUACUUUAUUGAACGCGGACGCUGGAAUGAAACAACACUAGUGGGCCAUUUUUGGUAAGCAGAACUGGCGAUGCGGGAUGAACCGAACGCGAGGUUAAGGUGCCGGAGUGGACGCUCAUCAGACACCACAAAAGGUGUUAGUACAUCUUGACAGCAGGACGGUGGCCAUGGAAGUCGGAAUCCGCUAAGGACUGUGUAACAACUCACCUGCCGAAUGUACUAGCCCUGAAAAUGGAUGGCGCUCAAGCGUCCCACCCAUACCUCGCCCUCGGCGCGGGCUCGGCGCGUCGAGGAGUAGGCGGACGUGGAGGUCGGUGACGAAGCCUAGGACGUGAGUCCGGGUGGAACGGCCUCUAGUGCAGAUCUUGGUGGUAGUAGCAAAUACUUCAAUGAGAACUUGAAGGACCGAAGUGGGGAAAGGUUCCAUGUGAACAGCGGUUGGACGUGGGUCAGUCGAUCCUAAGCUAUAGGGAAGUUCCGUUUCAAAGGGGCGCUUUUGCCCCGUAUAGCGAAAGGGAAGCUGGUUAAUAUUCCAGCACCUGGAUGUGGGUUUUGCGCGGCAACGCAACCGAACGCGGAGACGACGGCGGGGGCCCCGGGAAGAGUUCUCUUUUCUUCUUAACGAUCUAUCACCCUGGAAUCGGUUUGUCCGGAGAUAGGGUUCAACGGUCGGAAGAGCCCAGCGCUUCUGCUGGGUCCGGUGCGUCCUCGACGUCCCUUGAAAAUCCGCGGGAGGGAAUAAUUCUCACGCCAGGUCGUACUCAUAACCGCAGCAGGUCUCCAAGGUGAACAGCCUCUGGUUGAUAGAACAAUGUGGAUAAGGGAAGUCGGCAAAACAGAUCCGUAACUUCGGGAAAAGGAUUGGCUCUAAGGAUCGGGCGCGUUGGGCCUUGAAUAGACGGUUCGGCGGCGGGAGGUCACUAGCUGGGCAACCAGCCGGAGGCUCCCUGCUGCUGGGCUCGACGCUCUUGGCAGGCUUCGGCCGUCCGGCGCGCGUUUAACGAUCAACUUAGAACUGGCGCGGACAGGGGGAAUCUGACUGUCUAAUUAAAACAUAGCAU
This 2047-nucleotide ribosomal RNA is filed under the name Verticillium zaregamsianum. RNAcentral's name for it is "eukaryotic LSU rRNA". It matches the Rfam family "Eukaryotic large subunit ribosomal RNA", at positions 74 to 2159 of the family's 3401-position model. Lineage: Eukaryota; Fungi; Ascomycota; Sordariomycetes; Glomerellales; Plectosphaerellaceae. The record is from RNAcentral.